RNAcentral lists this ribosomal RNA (457 nucleotides) under uncultured bacterium. RNAcentral's name for it is "partial 16S ribosomal RNA". It matches the Rfam family "Bacterial small subunit ribosomal RNA", at positions 338 to 792 of the family's 1533-position model. The record is from RNAcentral.
CCUACGGGGUGCAGCAGUGAGGAAUAUUGGUCAAUGGACGAGAGUCUGAACCAGCCAAGUAGCGUGAAGGAUGACUGCCCUAUGGGUUGUAAACUUCUUUUAUAUGGGAAUAAAAUGUUCCACGUGUGGGAUUUUGUAUGUACCAUAUGAAUAAGGAUCGGCUAACUCCGUGCCAGCAGCCGCGGUAAUACGGAGGAUCCGAGCGUUAUCCGGAUUUAUUGGGUUUAAAGGGAGCGUAGGUGGAUUGUUAAGUCAGUUGUGAAAGUUUGCUGCUCAACCGUAAAAUUGCAGUUGAAACUGGCAGUCUUGAGUACAGUAGAGGUGGGCGGAAUUCGUGGUGUAGCGGUGAAAUGCUUAGAUAUCACGAAGAACUCCGAUUGCGAAGGCAGUUCACUGGACUGCAACUGACACUGAGGCUCGAAAGUGUGGGUAUCAAACAGGAUUAGAUACCCCAGUA